RNAcentral lists this ribosomal RNA (484 nucleotides) under uncultured bacterium. RNAcentral's name for it is "partial 16S ribosomal RNA". It matches the Rfam family "Bacterial small subunit ribosomal RNA", at positions 30 to 507 of the family's 1533-position model. The record is from RNAcentral.
AUUGAACGCUGGCGGCAGGCCUAACACAUGCAAGUCGAGCGGCUGCACGGUGCUUGCUUCUUCUUUCGGCUUCGGACUGGUGUUUUAUUCCUAGCUAUCUCCCUGUUUGUUUUGUCUUACGUCCUUAUAUGGGCGCUCUUACCGCAUUCCUCCUUAGGGCCUACGUUUGUGAUCUUCGGAUCUCUCGCUCUCACAUGAUCCUAGUUCGGAUUAGCUAGUUGGUGUGUUAAAGGCCUACCAAGGCGACGAUCCGUCACUCGUCUGAGAGGAUGAUCAGUCACACUGGAACUGAGACACGGUCCAGACUCCGACGGGAGGCAGCAGUGGGGAAUAUUGGACAAGGGGCGAAAGCCUGAUCCAGCAAUGCCGCGUGUGUGAAGAAGGUCUUCGGAUUGUAAAGCAAUUUAAGUGGGGAAGAAGAGAAGAAAGUUAAUACCUAGCUGUUAUGACGGUACCAAAAGAAUAAGCACCGGCUAACUUCGUG